This is a long non-coding RNA of Labrus mixtus (cuckoo wrasse), 762 nucleotides long. RefSeq lists it as uncharacterized. The transcript is spliced from 2 exons. NCBI's taxonomy places the organism in Eukaryota, Metazoa, Chordata, Actinopteri, Labriformes, Labridae. The record is from RefSeq and is a predicted model, not a curated record.
CACAAUUUAUAUUUGAGAUUUCAUUUAUAAUUUAUUUCUGUUAAGUAUUUGUGAAUUUUAUCUUAACGAGUUAUGUAUAUUUACUGUUAUUUUAUCAAAUUUAUGUUUCCUUUGAGAAUUACCUUUUUGGCACCUUGCGGCUUCUGUACCUCCUGGGUUUCCGUAGCUCCUUCCGUCUGUCCCUCACAGUGCCGUUUUGCAGUGCUGAGGGUAAGUUGUAUGUAAAAACGUUGCUGCAUCAUUACCUUAUUUACUGUGGAAAAUAAGUGAUUUAAGUUGUAAUGUUCGGUUUAUUUUAUAAACUGAUAGUAAUACAAUGUUAAUCAGUCAUUUUGUUUAGGUUUUGAGAGUUUUAUAUCACUUUGGAGACUGUUUGAAUGUAGCGGUAUGUUUUUCCUUGUAUUUUCAUACUUUCUGUUUCGUUUUACAGCCGCAUGUUGUCGUUUAUUUUGUCCACUAGGUGUCACUGUUUUACCAUUUGGUAUACUGUUUCUCAUGUUCUUUUAAUUAGAUUUAUUGUUAAUAUACACUGUAAAACCGAAGUUUUUCAGACAUUUGUAGCAGCGCUUGGUUAUAAAUAUUUACAUGUAGUUAAAAUACUGAAAUGAUGAUUGUAAUGUAUUUCUAUGUAAUAUAAAUGUGUUUUGAGCUCAAGACAGUGCCGUUUUGCAUUGCCGAGGGAGCAGAGGUGCAGAAAACAAAUGUCCAGAAGGCAAAUUGAAUGUUCUUUUGUCUUCUGCAGAAAAUAAAAGCUGGAAAACA